GGAGGGGGGCAAGCGUUGUUCGGAAUUACUGGGGGGCGUAAAGGGCGCGUAGGGCGGAAGAUCAAGUCAGGGGUGAAAGGCCUGGGCUCAACCCGGGAACUGCCUUUGAAACUGGUUUUCUAGAGUACGGGAGAGGAUGGCGGAAUUCCCAGUGUAGAGGUGAAAUUCGUAGAUAUUGGGAAGAACACCGGUGGCGAAGGCGGCCAUCUGGCCCGGUACUGACGCUAAGGCGCGAAAGCGUGGGGAGCAAACAGGAUUAGAUACCCUGGUAGUCCACGCCGUAAACGAUGUGUGCUAGCCGUUGGGGCUUCAGGUCUCGGUGGCGCAGCUAACGCGUUAAGCACACCGCCUGGGGAGUACGGCCGCAAGGUCA
Molecule: ribosomal RNA, 373 nt
Filed under: uncultured organism
Description: partial 16S ribosomal RNA
Rfam family: Bacterial small subunit ribosomal RNA
Source: RNAcentral